UCCAGGGUAGCUUAGUGGACAUGGCAUCUUCCCGGUAAGCGGAACACUGUGGGUUUGAUUCCCAUCCUUGGAC
This 73-nucleotide transfer RNA is filed under the name Cordylochernes scorpioides. RNAcentral describes it as "tRNA-Thr". It matches the Rfam family "tRNA". From Rfam's summary of the family: Transfer RNA (tRNA) molecules are approximately 80 nucleotides in length. Their secondary structure includes four short double-helical elements and three loops (D, anti-codon, and T loops). Lineage: Eukaryota; Metazoa; Arthropoda; Arachnida; Pseudoscorpiones; Chernetidae. The record is from RNAcentral.